Molecule: long non-coding RNA, 221 nt
Filed under: Mytilus galloprovincialis (Mediterranean mussel)
Lineage: Eukaryota; Metazoa; Mollusca; Bivalvia; Mytilida; Mytilidae
Source: RNAcentral
CUGAAAUGAUGUUUUUGGGGUUAAAACCUUCUGGGAAUUGAAUCCCACCUACACUUUCUCAAUAGCACCCAAAUAUUAAAGAAAAAUUCCUUGGCUCUAACUCCAAAUACGGACAAUUUUAUGUUAAGGGGGUCCUGAAAUCUUUCGAAAGCUUCCGAUGUGCUAUCUUUUAACCUUUUCUAAUUAACCGGACCAAAUCACUACUUUACUUUAAAAUUCAU